This 465-nucleotide ribosomal RNA is filed under the name uncultured bacterium. RNAcentral describes it as "partial 16S ribosomal RNA". It matches the Rfam family "Bacterial small subunit ribosomal RNA", at positions 28 to 507 of the family's 1533-position model. The record is from RNAcentral.
GACGAACGCUGGCGGCGUGCUUAACACAUGCAAGUCGAACGGAAAGGCCCUGCUUGCAGGGUACUCGAGUGGCGAACGGGUGAGUAACACGUGGGUGAUCUGCCCUGCACUUCGGGAUAAGCCUGGUAAACUGGGUCUAAUACCGGAUAGGAGCCAUUUUUAGUGUGAUGGUUGGAAAGUUUUUUCGGUGUAGGAUGAGCUCGCGGCCUAUCAGCUUGUUGGUGGGGUAAUGGCCUACCAAGGCGGCGACGGGUAGCCGGCCUGAGAGGGUGGACGGCCACAUUGGGACUGAGAGACGGCCCAGACUCCUACGGGAGGCAGCAGUGGGGAAUAUUGCACAAUGGGCGCAAGCCUGAUGCAGCGACGCCGCGUGGGGGAGGACGGCCUUCGGGUUGUAAACUCCUUUCGCUAGGGACGAAGCUUUUUGUGACGGUACCUAGAUAAGAAGCACCGGCUAACUACGUG